Molecule: unclassified non-coding RNA, 3616 nt
Filed under: Hevea brasiliensis (rubber tree)
Lineage: Eukaryota; Viridiplantae; Streptophyta; Magnoliopsida; Malpighiales; Euphorbiaceae
Source: RNAcentral
AUAAAAAAAGGGUGCUUUCCAUUUCAGCUCAACAGCAAGCUGAAGUCCAAGAAACACAGCAAGUGAAUGAGCAAAAGGAAGGUGAAAAACAGAACGUGAAGCAACCGACACAGCCAAGACCAGUGGAACCACAAGUGAAUGUGAAGAGCAAGAACAUGAGCAGAGAAUAUGGAGGGCAAUGGCUCAGCUCCGUCACACGCCAUGUGAGGAUAUAUGCAGCCUACAUCGACCCUGAAACUUGGGAAUUUGAUCAAACUCAAAUGGAUAAGCUCACCCUUCUUCUUGAUCCUACAAAUGAGUUUGUGUGGACGGAUGAGACUUGUCACAAGGUCUACUCUUACUUCCAAGAGCUUGUGGAUCACUAUGAGGUAUGUCUGCCAUACGUUUAAUGCCUUAUUUUAUUGGGUAAACCACCAAUGAAUUUUUGCUUAGAACAACACCCAAUAAAUCCAUGACAUUAGCAUCUCUAGCUUGCACGCAAUAAGGAGUUGACACAGAGUACAAAACCGAUAAUCCAUAAAAAAGGGGUAGUCCCUCCAUCUAAGAUAGUCCCUCCAUUUAAAGGCUAAACGUAUCCCCUUAAUUGGGAUAUGGGUUGGGUUCAAACCUUGUAGUUUGUCACCAUCCCUGUGCUAUUAGACCUGAUUCUAUAUCGAUUACCGGUUACCACCUACGAUUGGUAUAUGGGAAAGAUGGAGGAAAAAUUAAGACCUUAUGGGUCAAUGGAUCAUUGCCGUCAUGCCAAUCUGCAAAUUUGGAUAAGUGGAUAUAAAAGUACCAGUAAAUAGCUCAAUGUCUGUUUAUCACAAGGCAAAAAAAAAUCCAGUAUAUUUAAGAAAAAAAUUGUAUGCUGGUGCAACCUUGUUUGAUCCUUGUUUUGCCAUAUCGGAUAUUAACACGUUACUUGAUAUCAGGGUGCCCCAUUGACGGAAUACACACUUCGACUGAUUGGUUCAGACAUAGAGCAUUACAUCAGAAAGCUGUUAUAUGAUGGGGAAAUCAAAUAUAACAUGAAUGCAAAAGUAUUGAACUUCAGCAUGGGGAAGCCACGGAUUCUGUUUAAUAAUGAUGGCCAGCUUCAAGAUGGACAAUAAGAUUUAAAUGGAGCAACUAGACAAAAUAUAGACAGGUUUUGGGUUGUGAGUUGUGACAUGAUCUGAUUAAAUACAGUUUCUCUAUAUAGCCUGUCCCCCACAACUUUGAAAAAGUUGCAUCAAGCAAACACCUUCAGCCACCAAACUUAGCUCCACAGAGUUGACAUCUUUAAUUGAUGCAAUAUUUGAAUGCACAGUCGUGUCUGCCAGGACGUUCUUUCACAAGCUAGAUUCUACUCUACUUAUGAUCUUCAGAGAUGUCAAUGUGAAUCAGAUGCAACAUUUCCAUGUGGCAACACUUCCAAGCAUGAUGAGUCCAUCCAAGGUUUAAAAACUCCUUCGUGUGGCAUACACUCCAACCAAAAGAAAAAUCCACGCAAGAGAUUCAAAAUUUUAGGCUUGUCAGAUCCGGCUGACUUGAUCUUUGUGUAAAGAUCUGGGUGCAGAUCAAGAUAUGAUUUCCGAAUUCCUUGCACUGGGCACACCCUAGUCCGUCCAUUACGCAAUUCUUUUUCCUUUAUAAUUGGCUUAUGGCUAUGUACAUCUACCAAGAGUUUGGUAUACUCCUUUUGGUCAUAAGGCUUUUUGAGAAUUUCUGUAACCCUCUCCAUAAACCAAUAGCAAUGAUUUCUAGAAGAAUCCUUAAUGUCCUCGAUGGCAUCUACAUCCUUGAUUUGUAAAAUGACAUAAAUAAUACAUGAAAGGAACAAAUUUCAGCUAUAAGAAACAUGCAAAAAACAAUAUCUACGAGUUUGUGUGUGUACCAGUAGGAAAAGAAACAUACCAUUGCGACUACUUGUUUUGAAAUCACAAAUGGAGUACAAUUUUCAUUACCAAAUGGAUCAGUGUCCAUCACAAUUACUUCAGAAUCAGAUGAACUCUCUUCAUCCUCUCCAUAUACCACCUUUGCACCACUUUCAUGCACAAAUACCACAUUAUUCUCCUCUCUCUUCAGACAGUUCAGGAAAAUUUUGUAGCUCUCAUCCAUAUCACAUUCCAUCUCUGGUUUGCAAUCAUGUUUGGUCACACCUGCAGCUUCUCGACUAGGCCUCAUUUUUCUGAGAUUUUCCACUUCACAACUGCUGUGUGGCCCAUCAUCCACUUCAUAAUUAAUAAUGACAGAAAUCCCAUCUUUCAGUGAAACCUCAAGCACAUAUGCUUUUCCAUCUUCUCUCAAAUUUCCUAGGAACAUCUUAUAUUCUGAAUCAAUAUCAUCCAAAUCGUCAUUGUGAUCAGCAUCAAUGUUUGCAGACCUAUUCUCCACAAACCCACCAUUAUUAGUAACAUUCUCAACAGACUGAUUGCUGCAAGGAUCAAUCUCUACAGAGUGACUACCGGAAUUAAUAUCAACAGCAACAUUGUCCACAGACUGAUCAUUUCCACCACCACCACCACCAAACUGUUCUAAAUCAACAAGCUUCUUGUAAUCAACAUGAUCAUCAAUUUUAAUAUAGUUGUUUUCUGUGAUUUUCUUAUGCUGAGGAUUCAUAUCACAGCAAGCAUUAUCAUUGUUAUUAUUAUAUGCUUCGUCAUUGAUGGAUUCAUUCUCUAUCAAUUCAUCUCCACUAGUACCAUUCUCUACUAAUCCAUUAAAAGCAGUAGCAUUAACACGAUUAUCCAUGAUACUAUCAAUAUAAACAUCACUAUCAACAAAUGGAUCAGAAGGUAGACUAUCCAAAUACUUCAUGUAAUCAGAAUCCCAAUAUUCUCCUUUAUCAUCAAUCUCAAUAUUGUUGCUUUCCAGCACCGUCCCGUUCUGAGGAUGUCCGACAUUUUUUAGAGCAUCAACAACAGUUAAGGACCUGUUCUCUACCAAAGCACGACUUCCAGUGUCACUAUCAUCCAGAGACAUAUGGUUAGAAACAUGAUCAUCACCAAUUGAUUUUAAAGCUCUACCAUUGAAAAAAUUCUCGUAAUCGGCAUCCAUUGAUUCAUCAUCAUCAAGAAUCUCAAUGUGGUUAAUGUCAAGGAUUUUCUUAGAACCUUCAUUAGAAUUACCUUCACCAGAGCUAAUUUUACUACCAGAAUUGAGCUUGAAAUCAUGAUAGGCGCAAAGCUUUCUCUUCCAUCGCCUGGCCAACCUCACAUCAUCCUCCAAAUCAACCACCUCAUCAUCACCAUCAUCAACCCUGCCCCAACUUCCGGUGUUUCUCCUUUUGCAUCCCAUUCUAAUAAUUGGAGAUUUCUCUUCAAAAAUAAAACAAGAAAACAGAAGAGAACCCUCGACUUUUGAGUGGAAGAAUCAGAAGCGUAGCACAGCAAACAAAGAUAAUCUUUUCCAAUAUUUAUUAGGUCUUCCACAGUCCACACUUUGGCUCCUACUGACGGAGAGGUUGCGCAAUUAAAUGUGGGCACAUCAAUACGCUGCCGUAUUGCAUCGCUUUAUUGGACCUUAGGUGGUUAGGGCUAGUGGAUUGGACUUCUUUUUUUGAGGUCCUAAUUAGACCCGACUGCAUCAUUCAUUGGGCCAAGUUAGGUUCAAGUUGGGCCAGAAUAAACCCCUGUGGCUUCUCCGGCCGUGA